This 410-nucleotide unclassified non-coding RNA is filed under the name fungal sp. RNAcentral describes it as "partial internal transcribed spacer region". The stretch from base 1 to 46 matches the Rfam family "Eukaryotic small subunit ribosomal RNA", at positions 1786 to 1831 of the family's 1831-position model. Lineage: Eukaryota; Fungi. The record is from RNAcentral.
AAGUCGUAACAAGGUUUCCGUAGGUGAACCUGCGGAAGGAUCAUUAACGAGAUAAUGCUACUGCUCUACUGCGGUGGAGUGUAGUCAUUCAAUAAUGAUAAUAAUUUGUUGAACGAUAGUCGCUCGUUUUAGCGUAAAGCUAAAAAUUGAAUUAUGUUAACGAGUAUGCUAGUUGGUUAAUGAUGUGCGUGCGUGCUUAAUUGCGUGCAUGUACAUAGAGCGACCGAACUACUGACUGCUGCUCGGGGUACGGCCCGUAGUGUAAUGCUAUGGUGAGUCGUACCUGUGUCAUUUUAAAUUUGAGUAAUAAAAUUCGCGUACGCGUGUUUAAGCGCGAGUACGUGUAGACUUGUGAAAGAGAGAAUAAUAAUAAAAUGCAUAACUGCAAACGGUGGAUCACUCGGCUCACG